RNAcentral lists this ribosomal RNA (450 nucleotides) under uncultured bacterium. RNAcentral describes it as "partial 16S ribosomal RNA". It matches the Rfam family "Bacterial small subunit ribosomal RNA", at positions 354 to 796 of the family's 1533-position model. The record is from RNAcentral.
GUGGGGAAUAUUGGACAAUGGGCGAAAGCCUGAUCCAGCCAUGCCACGUGUGUGAAGAAGGUCUUCGGAUUGUAAAGCACUUUAAGUUGGGAGGAAGGGCAGUAAGUUAAUACCUUGCUGUUUUGACGUUACCGACAGAAUAAGCACCGGCUAACUUCGUGCCAGCAGCCGCGGUAAUACGAAGGGUGCAAGCGUUAAUCGGAAUUACUGGGCGUAAAGCGCGCGUAGGUGGUUUUGUAAGUUGGAGGUGAAAUCCCCGGGCUCAACCUGGGAACUGCCUCCAAAACUGCAUGACUAGAGUACGGUAGAGGGUAGUGGAAUUUCCUGUGUAGCGGUGAAAUGCGUAGAUAUAGGAAGGAACACCAGUGGCGAAGGCGACUACCUGGACUGAUACUGACACUGAGGUGCGAAAGCGUGGGGAGCAAACAGGAUUAGAUACCCGGGUAGUCC